AUUUUUUAUUUAACCUUUAUUUAACCAGGAGUAAAAACUCAUUGAGAUUAAAAAUCUCUUUUCCAAGAGUGUCCUGCAUGGCCAAGAUAGGCAGCACCACAGUUACACACAAAUUUCAAAAUCAUAAAGGUAUCAAAAAAAAAAACAUUCAUCAACAUUCAAAACACCUACAGCCAGAUGUGCCUGUUUACAAAUCUUUUAGAAGCACUUUAAAGAUGUUCAGUGUGACCAGCUCUCAAAUUAGACAGAAUAUAUACGUAAAAACAAUAUAAAAUGGCUUUAUAACAAUCCACUGGGUAUAUCCUAUUUUUGCACUGACUAAUUUAAGAGCUAUAUUACUUGCACAACAUUUCAAAUAUUACACUCUGCGACCUUGCAUUUCUGAAAUCAUAUAUAAGGAUAUAUAUUUGCAAUAUUUGCCUAUUGCAUUUUGUUCUGUAUAUGUAUUGUUCAGCUAUACACAUUAGGUGUCUGUGCAGGUUCAUAUCGCACUGCAAGGUCAUGGUUCUGCUUUAUUUUCCCCCUCAUUAUCAUAAGGCAUCCAUCUCUUUCUUCCAUUAGUGACGCUUCACCAUGUCGCCAACCCGACCUCUAUUUACAUGACUAAAUUAGAUUUCUUCUCGGCCGUUUUGUUUCGGAAAGCCUGCCUCUAAUAUUCAAAAGAAAAAUAUAUGUAUAGGACAAUAGCUUUUGACUGCUUUAUAUUAAAAGAAAAAAACAUAUAAGUCAAUUCAUCAUAUUUUAUUUGUAUUUUACAAAUACUAGGCCUUGGCUAUUGUAAGUUCCUUAUAUGUCACAAUUUUUUUUAUUUAUUUAUUUUUUAUUUAUUUUUUAACAUGGACAAAAUGCCCUUCCUAUUCCACACCUGUCACCAAUUUAUCAGCACAAUUUUGCAACAUAACUAAAACCAGUAUAAAAAAAACAGGCAAUUUAAGAAAAAGAAUAUGUCAUGAUGAUGAGUGUUUUUAGCACGUGAAGAGGGGGGUUGGUGAUGGCGGUCACCUGCUCACCAUCGCCAGGGGUCCCGCACUGUUGACAUAUUGAGUAUGACCCCCUCAUUUCUCCCAGUGUCCCAAUUCUAUUGAGAGUUUUGAACAUGCAUAAUGUGUAGACACGAGGCGAAGGGGCCUCGAUGACCUCUGUCUCAACAUAUGUGGCACACUUGCCCUCUGCACGCUCUAAUUUUGUGAGAUGACAGGCAAUAAUGAAAUGUUGGUAUACGAAACUAUAAAGAACCAUACAGACUUAAUAUCGAUGCUGCCUUUUGCGUUUAUCUUAAAAUCUCUAAAUCUUGUACUUACUAUGAUGCUAUGAUGUUGUUUUUGUGAUUAAUUUACCAAUUCUUCCUACACAUAUUUAUAGUUAUAUUUUGAAAAGACUGAAAAAAUGUAGAAUUAAAUCUACAACAGUAAGUAAAAUACACCAAAAGAAAUCUGACCAAAAAAUCCACGAUUUCUUUUUUUUUUUUUUUUUGCAUAUUCCGCCUCCAUCAUCUGAGAUGUAGGUCAACUCACAUCUCUUGAUCGCCUACAGCGAUUUACAGCUUGAAGCAUUUGAUGCAGCUCUGUGAUUAUAGGAGUAGAAGCUCAUUAUUUAAAUCACACAUGAUGUGCUUUGGGCCUUUUUUUUUACUUUGAAAAGAAACACCACUUAAAGAUACAAAUACAAAUAGAAAUGACUUCUUUAUUGAGACUUUUUUUUUGCAGAACAAAAACACAAACAAAGGCGUAGUAUUGAAACCCACAAACAAAAAUUUAAUUUAUAAUUUAAAAUAAAGUGCAAAGCCGUUUUUUUUUUUUCAAGUGUGCAUGGUGAUGGAAAUAUAAUCAGCAUGCAUGAGAAUGAUUUAGGACAUUAUUGCCUUUUCUCCUACAGCAGCACAUGAUGCUCUUCUAGCAUUCUCAUCCUGUUUUUCCAUCUUCCUCUCAGACAGGACAAGUGCACGCUCAUGCGUAAACACAGAGACCUUUGAAGUGGCCCUCUGUCACCACAUGGCGAAUCCCCCUGGUGUGAUCCCUCUGUCCAUUUGGCCGCAGGACCGACACCGGUAGGUUGCCUACGGCUCUUGUCUGUUCUGUCAUUAUGGAAACCAGUAUAUUACUUAGACUGGUGCCUUCUAUGUUUCCUGUAUGUCUCUCUCUAAAUGAUCUGUGCACAUGCCUUAGGUCACGGCUCUGUUACCUCUUUGGCUAACGCUUCUCCUUCCGUUUCUCUAAUGCCGUUGCUUGUUAAUCUCAUAGGAUUGUAUAGCGACCAUCCAUCUGUGUGGUUAUCAGCGCCACACUCCUGUCCUGUGUGCUGGUCUCUCAGGUGAGCGAGGACUGUGGCUUCUCUCUUGGCAUUCACCGCGUGCCUUAAUUGUAUUGAAAUUAAAUCAAGGUCCACUGUGAACACAAAGAGCUCAAACCCAAACUUCCCACAAUGUUCCUCCUCAUCACAUCCUGUUCUCCUCUGUGGCUUACCGCACGUUUAGCAACACUUUCCCUCCUUUGUAUUCACGUCCUAUACAGCAAUUUUCAACAUGAACACUAUAGAAAUUGAGACUGCUAAACACUGUCUCAAUCUUUAAAAAGUGCAUCCCUAACGUUGUACAUUUCGUCAGUCCAUCCCUGUUUGACUUUCCUCUCUCCUCACCUGUGAUCUCUCCUCCCUGUGGGCUCAGAGGCGGCUAUGCGGUCCUUUUUCACACGUCAAAGUACAUUGCAUGCUAAUCCCACGCCAGCUCCCUUUGCAAUGAAAACAGGUUUUCUAUACAGACAAUACAGUAGGGGGGGGG
Molecule: long non-coding RNA, 2776 nt
Organism: Sebastes umbrosus (honeycomb rockfish)
Lineage: Eukaryota; Metazoa; Chordata; Actinopteri; Perciformes; Sebastidae
Exons: 2
Source: RefSeq, a predicted model, not a curated record